GUGCUUGCUUUGGCAGCACGUAUACUAAAAUUGGAACGAUACAGAGAAGAUUAGCACGGCUCCUGUGCAAGGAUGACAUGCGAAUUCGUGAAGUGUUCCAUAUUUUU
Molecule: small nuclear RNA, 107 nt
Organism: Balaenoptera acutorostrata (minke whale)
Lineage: Eukaryota; Metazoa; Chordata; Mammalia; Artiodactyla; Balaenopteridae
Source: RefSeq, a predicted model, not a curated record